AUUGAACGCUGGCGGCAGGCCUAACACAUGCAAGUCGAACGAGUGGCGGACGGGUGAGUAAUGUCUGGGAAACUGCCCGAUGGAGGGGGAUAACUACGGGAAACGGUAGCUAAUACCGCAUACAAUCGGAUGUGCCCAGAUGGGAUUAGCUAGUAGGGGGGGUAACGGCGCACCUAGGCAACGAUCCCUAGCUGGUAUGAGAGGAUGACCAGCCACCCUGGAACUGUGACACGGUCCAGACGCCUACGGGAGGCAGCAGUGGGGAAUAUUGCACAAUGGGCGCAAUCCUUAUGCAGCCAUGCCGCGUGUAUGAAGAAGGCCUUCGGGUUGUAAAGUACUUUCAGCGAGGAGGCUUUACUCGCAGAAGAAGCCCCGGCUAACUCCGUGCCAGCAGCCGCGGUAAUAC
RNAcentral lists this ribosomal RNA (406 nucleotides) under uncultured bacterium. RNAcentral describes it as "partial 16S ribosomal RNA". It matches the Rfam family "Bacterial small subunit ribosomal RNA", at positions 30 to 526 of the family's 1533-position model. The record is from RNAcentral.